This 354-nucleotide long non-coding RNA is filed under the name Homo sapiens (human). RNAcentral's name for it is "HSALNT0292962". Lineage: Eukaryota; Metazoa; Chordata; Mammalia; Primates; Hominidae. The record is from RNAcentral.
CCGCCAUCUGGGAUCUUUUUCUGCCAGGUACAGUGCUGGAAGCGGGGAUACAGGGACAAAUAAGACACAGAUCCUGUUCCUAAAGAGAGUCUUUUCUAAGGCACCAACUACUUCCUUCAAGCAGCAGCCAGAGAUCUUUGCUUAAUGGCUGAGAAACACAGAGGAGAGACCCAGAGAGAAGGAGAAGGCCGCAUGAAGAUGGAGCAGAGACUGGAGUUAUUCAGCCAAGUCAAGGAAUGCCUGGAGCACCAGAAGCCGGAAGAGGCAAGGAAGGAUCCUCCCUUAGAGCAUUUGGAAGAGUGUGGCCCUGCCAACACCUUGACUUCAAACUUCUGGCCUCCAUAACUAUGAAAU